UUAAUUACAGGAAAUAGCACAGCGAAAAGCAGCAGCAUUCGUCUUUAAAUGGAUAUGGUUCCCCCCUUCUCCGCCCCCCUACCGGCUCUUCCUCUGCCCUGCGCAGACAGCCACCGCCCCUACCCUCCCCCUAAACUCUUUUAUUAUCAGUUGAAUCACGUCUCGUGCCAAGCAAAAGGUCAUUUCAGGUCAUCUUGGAGAUGAAAGGACGGGGUAACGUAUGUAAAGAGAGCCAGAGAUGCCGCCCAUUGCGAAAGUGCAUAUUCUGGCAACGUGCUGCAUCUGCGGGACUUUGGGAAACCGGCUCUGCUGGGGCAGAGAGGCGGGACUCAUCAGAGCCUCCAACAGAAGGGGUUGGGGGCAGAGGGCUGGCUGGUCCAGUCACCCUCUUGAGGGGGAUUUAGAACCACCAGGGUACGUGCGCAGUCUAUUUAGGGUGUUUCAGUAGCAAGCACAGACCUCUUUGUUUGGAGAUAAGAAAA
Long non-coding RNA from Cebus imitator (Panamanian white-faced capuchin), 482 nucleotides. RefSeq lists it as uncharacterized. NCBI's taxonomy places the organism in Eukaryota, Metazoa, Chordata, Mammalia, Primates, Cebidae. The transcript is spliced from 2 exons. The record is from RefSeq and is a predicted model, not a curated record.